UGGGGAAUAUUGGACAAUGGGCGAAAGCCUGAUCCAGCCAUGCCGCGUGUGUGAAGAAGGUCUUCGGAUUGUAAAGCACUUUAAGUUGGGAGGAAGGGCAGUAAGCGAAUACCUUGCUGUUUUGACGUUACCGACAGAAUAAGCACCGGCUAACUCUGUGCCAGCAGCCGCGGUAAUACAGAGGGUGCAAGCGUUAAUCGGAAUUACUGGGCGUAAAGCGCGCGUAGGUGGUUCGUUAAGUUGAAUGUGAAAGCCCCGGGCUCAACCUGGGAACUGCAUCCAAAACUGGCGAGCUAGAGUAGGGCAGAGGGUGGUGAAAUUUCCUGUGUAGCGGUGAAAUGCGUAGAUAUAGGAAGGAACACCAGUGGCGAAGGCGACCACCUGGGCUCAUACUGACACUGAGGUGCGAAAGCGUGGGGAGCAAACAGG
RNAcentral lists this ribosomal RNA (429 nucleotides) under Pseudomonadota bacterium. RNAcentral's name for it is "Proteobacteria bacterium partial 16S ribosomal RNA". It matches the Rfam family "Bacterial small subunit ribosomal RNA", at positions 355 to 776 of the family's 1533-position model. The record is from RNAcentral. Lineage: Bacteria; Pseudomonadati; Pseudomonadota.